UUCUUUCUUUAAAUGUGCAUAUAAAAUUGUGUGAAGGAACAGAAAUUUUGCGAUGUGCACUACCAUAUUUGACUGCAAUUUCAUUUUACAAUGUUUACAAGACCAUCCCAACCACGACAUAAAUGAAAUUAAACCAUAUUCUCUACCACAAGUGUCUUAUUCGAUUCAAAAUACAUGGUUAGAUGAUAUCGAGCAAAAAAUAUUGUCUCGCAUUAAAAAUAAAUAUCCUACAUAUCCAAUAUUUUGGAUUUCUUCUGAAAAACUUUCCUUUUGGGAAGAGACCAAUAUCAAUGACACUUUCUGGGAUAAGACAGAAAUAAUACAAAUUGUGGAAAUACUCGACGAGUAUGUAUUUUCGAUAGAAAUGCUCCAUAAAUUGGUUCAACUAUGGCGACAAUUAGAUCCGAAAAACCAUCGUUCUGAAAGCUCAGCACAUUUUAGGGACCGUAUACUAUAUGCUACAUAUCACAGUGUAGCUAGUAGACUCCGUAUAGAUUGCGAUUCGUCGGUAGAUCUACUAGACCAAUUUCUAAAAAAAAAAACAAAAUUUUCUAGUCUCGAAAAGCAUAAGUAUAAUUUUAGCUUUAGUUUUAUAAAGAAUCCUGAUGAUAUUUAUAUGUAUUUAUACU
Camponotus floridanus (Florida carpenter ant) is the source of this 629-nucleotide long non-coding RNA. RefSeq lists it as uncharacterized. The transcript has 3 exons. The record is from RefSeq and is a predicted model, not a curated record. NCBI's taxonomy places the organism in Eukaryota, Metazoa, Arthropoda, Insecta, Hymenoptera, Formicidae.